GAGUUUGAUCCUGGCUCAGGACGAACGCUGGCGGCGUGCCUAAUACAUGCAAGUCGAACGCGAUCGGGCUUCGGCCCAUAUGAUCGAGUGGCGAACGGGUGCGUAACACGUGAGAAACCUGCCCUGGAGUACGGAAUAACCACGGGAAACUGUGGCUAAUACCGCAUACCUUCACCGGUCCGCAUGGUCUGGUGAAGAAAGCUUUUGCGCUCUGGGAGGGUCUCGCGGCCUAUCAGCUUGUUGGUGAGGUAACGGCUCACCAAGGCCACGACGGGUAGCUGGUCUGAGAGGACGAUCAGCCACACUGGGACUGAGACACGGCCCAGACUUCUACGGGAGGCAGCAGUAGGGAAUCUUGCGCAAUGGGCGAAAGCCUGACGCAGCAACGCCGCGUGGGGGAUGACGGCUUUCGGGUUGUAAACCCCUUUCAGCAGGGACGAAACUGACGGUACCUGCAGAAGAAGCCCCGGCCAACUACGUGCCAGCAGCCGCGGUAACACGUAGGGGGCAAGCGUUGUCCGGAAUUAUUGGGCGUAAAGAGCUCGUAGGUGGUUCGGUAAGUCAGGUGUGAAAGGCUGGGGCUCAACCCUAGGACCGCACCUGAUACUGCUGUGACUCGAGUCCGGUAGAGGAGUGUGGAAUUCCUGGUGUAGCGGUGAAAUGCGCAGAUAUCAGGAGGAACACCAGCGGCGAAGGCGGCACUCUGGGCCGGUACUGACACUGAGGAGCGAAAGCGUGGGGAGCAAACAGGAUUAGAUACCCUGGUAGUC
Molecule: ribosomal RNA, 770 nt
Filed under: uncultured marine bacterium
Lineage: Bacteria
Description: bacterial SSU rRNA
Rfam family: Bacterial small subunit ribosomal RNA
Source: RNAcentral